AGGUACGAUUAUAUCAGCACUAAUGCACCGGAUCCCAUCAGAACUUCGAAGUUAAGCAUGCUUGGGAGAGAGUAAUACUGGGAUGGGUGACCUCCUGGGAAGUCCUCAUGUUGCACCUC
This 119-nucleotide ribosomal RNA is filed under the name Colocasia esculenta (taro). The record is from RNAcentral. Lineage: Eukaryota; Viridiplantae; Streptophyta; Magnoliopsida; Alismatales; Araceae.